AAACUCUCAAGCUUUGCUUGGUUUUGAAGAUUGACUUAUAGUCAUCUUUCCAACUUGUAGGCAAGAUCUUUUAAACUUCAAGCGUAGCAAUGUCAUCGCUUAGUUGUGAGAUUGAACUUUGUCUGACAAUCAAAAACUUUUCAA
This 144-nucleotide unclassified non-coding RNA is filed under the name uncultured Ascomycota. Its description in RNAcentral is "sequence contains ITS2". Lineage: Eukaryota; Fungi; Ascomycota. The record is from RNAcentral.